RNAcentral lists this ribosomal RNA (874 nucleotides) under Acinetobacter johnsonii. Its description in RNAcentral is "bacterial SSU rRNA". It matches the Rfam family "Bacterial small subunit ribosomal RNA", at positions 56 to 923 of the family's 1533-position model. The record is from RNAcentral. Lineage: Bacteria; Pseudomonadati; Pseudomonadota; Gammaproteobacteria; Moraxellales; Moraxellaceae.
UGCAGUCGAGCGGGGAAGGGUAGCUUGCUACCUGACCUAGCGGCGGACGGGUGAGUAAUGCUUAGGAAUCUGCCUAUUAGUGGGGGACAACAUUCCGAAAGGAAUGCUAAUACCGCAUACGCCCUACGGGGGAAAGCAGGGGAUCUUCGGACCUUGCGCUAAUAGAUGAGCCUAAGUCAGAUUAGCUAGUUGGUGGGGUAAAGGCCUACCAAGGCGACGAUCUGUAGCGGGUCUGAGAGGAUGAUCCGCCACACUGGGACUGAGACACGGCCCAGACUCCUACGGGAGGCAGCAGUGGGGAAUAUUGGACAAUGGGCGCAAGCCUGAUCCAGCCAUGCCGCGUGUGUGAAGAAGGCCUUUUGGUUGUAAAGCACUUUAAGCGAGGAGGAGGCUACUUAGAUUAAUACUCUAGGAUAGUGGACGUUACUCGCAGAAUAAGCACCGGCUAACUCUGUGCCAGCAGCCGCGGUAAUACAGAGGGUGCGAGCGUUAAUCGGAUUUACUGGGCGUAAAGCGUGCGUAGGCGGCUUUUUAAGUCGGAUGUGAAAUCCCUGAGCUUAACUUAGGAAUUGCAUUCGAUACUGGGAAGCUAGAGUAUGGGAGAGGAUGGUAGAAUUCCAGGUGUAGCGGUGAAAUGCGUAGAGAUCUGGAGGAAUACCGAUGGCGAAGGCAGCCAUCUGGGCUAAUACUGACGCUGAGGUACGAAAGCAUGGGGAGCAAACAGGAUUAGAUACCCUGGUAGUCCAUGCCGUAAACGAUGUCUACUAGCCGUUGGGGCCUUUGAGGCUUUAGUGGCGGCAGCUACCGCGAUAAGUAGACCGGCUGGGGGAGUAGGGUCGCAAGACUAAAACUCGAGUGAAUUGACGGGGGCCCG